Molecule: ribosomal RNA, 497 nt
Filed under: uncultured bacterium
Lineage: Bacteria
Description: partial 16S ribosomal RNA
Rfam family: Bacterial small subunit ribosomal RNA
Source: RNAcentral
GAUGAACGCUGGCGGCGUGCCUAAUACAUGCAAGUCGAGCGAACAGACGAGGAGCUUGCUCCUCUGACGUUAGCGGCGGACGGGUGAGUAACACGUGGAUAACCUACCUAUAAGACUGGGAUAACUUCGGGAAACCGGAGCUAAUACCGGAUAAUAUAUUGAACCGCAUGGUUCAAUAGUGAAAGACGGUUUUGCUGUCACUUAUAGAUGGAUCCGCGCCGCAUUAGCUAGUUGGUAAGGUAACGGCUUACCAAGGCAACGAUGCGUAGCCGACCUGAGAGGGUGAUCGGCCACACUGGAACUGAGACGCGGUCCAGACUCCUACGGGAGGCAGCAGUAGGGAAUCGUCCGCAAUGGGCGAAAGCUUGACGGAGCAACGCCGCGUGAGUGAUGAAGGUCUUCGGAUCGUAAAACUCUGUUAUGAGGGAAGAACAAAUGUGUAAGUAACUAUGCACGUCUUGACGGUACCGAAUAAGAAAGCCACGGCUAACUACGUG